UACGUAGGGGGCGAGCGUUGUUCGGAAUUACUGGGCGUAAAGGGCGUGUAGGCGGGGAGGUAAGUCGGGUGUGAAAUCCCUCGGCCCAACCGAGGAACUGCGCCCGAGACUGCUUCUCUUGAGUCCCGGAGAGGAAGGUGGAAUUCCCGGUGUAGCGGUGAAAUGUGUAGAGAUCGGGAGGAACACCGGUGGCGAAGGCGGCCUUCUGGACGGUGACUGACGCUGAGGCGCGAAAGCGUGGGGAGCAAGCGGG
This 253-nucleotide ribosomal RNA is filed under the name uncultured bacterium. RNAcentral describes it as "partial 16S ribosomal RNA". It matches the Rfam family "Bacterial small subunit ribosomal RNA", at positions 524 to 776 of the family's 1533-position model. The record is from RNAcentral.